CUCUCCCCAUACUUGCCUCAAGUGGUGCCUGGUCUCAAGGAGGUGUUGUUGGAUCCUAUCCCCGAUGUGAGGGCUACUUCUGCGAAGGCUCUGGGUGGAUUGAUGU
RNAcentral lists this small RNA (106 nucleotides) under Paraphysomonas imperforata. RNAcentral's name for it is "partial Betaproteobacteria transfer-messenger RNA". The record is from RNAcentral. Lineage: Eukaryota; Chrysophyceae; Chromulinales; Paraphysomonadaceae.